This 408-nucleotide ribosomal RNA is filed under the name uncultured bacterium. Its description in RNAcentral is "partial 16S ribosomal RNA". It matches the Rfam family "Bacterial small subunit ribosomal RNA", at positions 28 to 526 of the family's 1533-position model. The record is from RNAcentral.
GGCGAACGCUGGCGGCGUGCUUAACACAUGCAAGUCGAACGAAGUGGCGAACGGGUGAGUAACGCGUAAUCAACCUGCCCUUCAGAGGGGGACAACAGUUGGAAACGACUGCUAAUACCGCAUACUGAAGGAGGGGAUUGCGUCUGAUUAGCUAGUUGGCUGGGUAACGGCCCACCAAGGCGAGGAUUAGUAGCCGGGCUUGGAGGAUGAACGACCACAUUGGGACUGAGACACGGCCCAGACUUCUAAGGGAGGCAGCAGUGGGGAAUCUACCGAAAUGGACGAAAGUCUGACGGAGCAACGCCGCGUGAGUGAUGACGGCCUUCGGGUUGUAAAGCUCUGUUAAUCGGGACGCGGUACCGGAAUAGAAAGCCACGGCUAACUACGUGCCAGCAGCCGCGGUAAUUC